UACGUAGGGUGCAGGCGUUAAUCGGAAUUACUGGGCGUAAAGCGUGCGCAGGCGGUUUGCUAAGACAGGUGUGAAAUCCCCGGGCUUAACCUGGGAACUGCGCUUGUAACUGGCAAGCUUGAGUGUGGCAGAGGGGGGUGGAAUUCCACGUGUAGCAGUGAAAUGCGUAGAUAUUGGGAGGAACACCAGUGGCGAAGGCGGCUCGCUGGACCGGUUCUGACGCUGAGGCGCGAAAGCGUGGGGAGCAAACGGG
Molecule: ribosomal RNA, 253 nt
Filed under: uncultured bacterium
Lineage: Bacteria
Description: partial 16S ribosomal RNA
Rfam family: Bacterial small subunit ribosomal RNA
Source: RNAcentral